GUUCUGGUAUAAAGUUGUUUUAUCUAGAAGAUAACUAGAGUCAAUGUUACAGGUGGAGAGGAUCGUGGAGGCAUCAGUAGCAGCCGGUGCGAGGGUGGUGCUGGGUGGGAAGCGACACAGUCUGGGCGGCUUGUUCUUCCAGCCCACCAUCCUGGUCGACGUGAAGGAAGACAUGCCUUGCUUCCAGCAGGAGAUCUUUGGCCCAGUUAUUGCUCUCAGGAGGUUCCAGAGUGAAGACGAGGCCGUUGCAAUUGCUAAUGCCUCUGAGUGUGGCCUUGCCAGUUACUUCUACAGUCAGGAUGUCUCUCAGGUGUGGCGAGUGGCUCGGAGACUGGAGUGUGGCAUUGUGGGCAUCAACGAGGGUCUGGUAUCUGCUGCUGAAGGAGCAUUUGGGGGCAUCAAGAAGUCUGGCAUUGGAAGAGAGGGUUCCAGGCAUGGUAUCGAUGACUACACUUACAUUAAAUAUAUCUGUUUAGGCGGUAUUAACUAAGGUAAAAGGAAUUGUGAUGCAUUAAGAUAGUGAGCUAAAAGAAGAGACACAUUGACCAUCACUCAUACUGAUGUGAUAUUUUUUUUUUUAUUAACACAUCAGCCAAUUCCCACCAAAGCAUGGUGGCCCAAAAAAGAAAAACUUUUAUCAUCAUUCACUCCAUCACUGUCUUGCCAGAGGGGUGCUUAACACUACAGUUUAUAAAACUGCAACAUUAACACCCCUCCUUCAGAGUGCAGACACUGUACUUCCCAUCUCCAAGACUCAAGUCAAGCCUGCCGGUUUCUCUGAAUCCCUUCAAAAUGUCACUUUGCUCACACUCCAAUAGCACUUCAAGUAUUAAAAACCAUUUGUAUCCAUUCACUUCUAUCAAAUACGCUCACACAUGCUUGCUGUAAGUCCAAGCCCCUCGCACACAAAACCUUUACCCCCUCCCUCCAACCUUUCCUAGGCCGACCCCUACCCCGCCUUCCUUCCACUACAGACUGAUACACUCUUGAAGUCAUUCUGUCUUGUUCCAUUCUCUCUACAUGUCCGAACCACCUCAACAAUCCUUCCUCAUCUCUCUGGAUGACAGUUAUGAUAAUCCCGCACCUCCUCCUAACUUCCAAACUACAAAUUGUCUGCAUUAUAUUCGCACCACACAUUGCCCUCAGACAUGACAUCUCCACUGCCUCCAGCCUUCUCCUUGCUGCAACAUUCAUCACCCAUGCUUCACACCCAUGUAAGUGUGUUGGUAAAACUAUACUCUCAUACAUUUCCCUCUUUGCUUCCAAGGACAAAGUGCUUUGUCUCCACAGACCCCUAAGUGCACCACUCACCCUUUUCCCCUCAUCAAUUCUAUGAUUCACCUCAUCUUUCAUAGACCCAUCUGCUGACACGUCCUCUCCCAAAUAUUUGAAUACAUUCACCUCCUCCAUACUCUCUCCCUCCAAUCUGAUAUCCAAUCUUUCAUCACCUAAUCUUUUUGUUAUCCUCAUAACCUUAUUAUUUCCUAUAUUCACUUUUAAUUUUCUUUUGCAUACCCUACUAAAUUCAUCCACCAACCUCUGCAACUUCUCUUCAGAAUCUCCCAAGAGCACAGUGUCAUCAGCAAAAAGCAACUGUGACAACUCCCACUUUGUGUUUGAUUCUUUAUCUUUUAACUCCACACCUCUUGCCAAGACUCUCGCAUUCACUUCUCUUACAACCCCAUCCAUAAAUAUAUUGAACAACCACAGUGACAUCACACAUCCUGUCUAAGGCCUACUUUUACUGGGAAAUAAUCUCCCUCUUUCCUACAUAUUCUAACCUGAGCUUCACUAUCCUCGUAAAAACUCUUCACUGCUUUCAGUAACCUACCUCCUAUACCAUACACCUGCAACAUCUGCCACAUUGCUCCCCUAUCCACCCUGUCAUACACCUUUUCCAAAUCCAUAAAUGCCACAAAAACCUCUUUAGCCUUAUCUAAAUACUGUUCACUUAUAUGUUUCACUGUAAACACCUGGUCCACACACCCCCUACCUUUCCUAAAAGCCUCCUUGUUCAUCUGCUAUCCUAUUCUCCGUCUUACUCUUAAUUCUUUCAAUAAUAACUCUACCAUACACUUUACCAGGUAUACUCAACAGACUUAUCCCCCUAUAAUUUUUGCACUCUCUUUUGUCCCCUUUGCCUCUAUACAAAGGAACUAUGCAUGCUCUCUGCCAGAUGUGAUUUAUCACAGUUUAAAUUAUAUGUUGAACUGUAACAUCUGCAACCAUCCUUCAUAGCGUAGGUACUGUGCCACCACCACCACCAUAGUGUAGGUAUUGUACCACUGGCACCACCACCAUCCUUCAUAGCGUAGGUACCGUACCACCACCACCAUCCUUCAUAGCGUAGGUACCGUACCACCACCACCAUCCUUCAUAGCGUAGGUACCGUACCACCACCACCAUCCUUCAUAGCAUAGGUACUGUGCCACCACCACCACCAUAGUGUAGGUAUUGUACCACUGGCACCACCACCAUCCUUCAUAGGGUAGGUACUGUGCCACCACCACCACCAUAGUGUAGGUAUUGUACCACUGGCACCACCACCAUCCUUCAUAGGGUAGGUACCGUACCACCACCACCAUCCUUCAUAGCGUAGGUACCGUACCACCACCACCAUCCUUCAUAGCGUAGGUACCGUACCACCACCACCAUCCUUCAUAGCGUAGGUACCGUACCACCACCACCAUCCUUCAUAGCGUAGGUACCGUACCACCACCACCAUCCUUCAUAGCGUAGGUACCGUACCACCACCACCAUCCUUCAUAGCGUAGGUACCGUACCACCACCACCAUCCUUCAUAGGGUAGGUACUGUACCACAACCACCAUCCUUCAUAGUGUAGGUAUUGUACCACUGCCACCACUACCAUCCUUCAUAGUGUAGGAAUUGUACCACUGCCACCACCAUCACUACCAUCUUUCAUAGUGUAGGUAUUGUACCACUGCCACCAUCACCAUCCUUCAGUGUAGGUACUGUACCACCACCACCAUCUUUUAGUGGCCUGGUGGCUAAAGCUCCCGCUUCACACACGGAGGGCCCGGGUUCGAUUCCCGGCGGGUGGAAACAUUUCAACACGUUUCCUUACACCUGUUGUCCUGUUCACCUAGUAGCAAAUAGGUACCUGGGUGUUAGUCGAUUGGUGUGGGUCGCAUCCUGGGGACAAGAUUAAGGCCCCCAAUGGAAAUAAGUUAGACAGUCCUAGAUGACACACUGACUUUCUUGGGUUAUCCUGGGUGACUAACCCUCUGGGGUUAAAAAUCCGAACGAAAUCUUAUCUUUUAGUGUGGGUACUGUACCACCACCACCAUCCUUUAGUGUAGGUACUGUACCACCACCAUCCUUCAUGGUGUAGGUAUUGUACCACCACCAUAACCACUAUCCUUCAGAGUACAGGUACUGCACCACCACCACCAUCCUUUAGUGUAGGUACUGUACCACCACCAUCCUUCAUAGUGUAGGUAUUGUACCACCACCACAACCACUAUCAGAGUACAGAUGCCAUACCACCACCAUACUUCAGAGUACAGGGAUGAUACCACCACCAUACUUAAGAGUACGGACACUAUACCUCCCACCUCCAGGAUUCAAGUGUGGCUAAUUGGUUUCCCUAAAUCCCUUCAAAACUGCUACUUCACUCCCACUCCAACAGAAAAUUGAAUCCCACAGUCCAGUUUUGUUCACUAACUCCAACCUGCUUGCACAGGUCCACUGGUUGUUGAGUAUGUUGCAGUGUUGCACAUCUUCCCAGAGUGUUCCACCUGCACCAGUAAGGUCAGUGUGUUCCACCUGCACCAGUAAGGUCAGUGUGUUCCACCUGCACCAGUAAGGUCAGUGUAUUCCACCAGCAACAGUAAGGUACGAGUGUUCCACCUGCACCAGUAAGGUCAGUGUGUUCCACCUGCAACAGUAAGGUCAGUGUGUUCCACCUGCACCAGUAAGGUCAGUGUUUUCCACCUGCAACAGUAAGGUCAGUGUGUUCCACCUGCACCAGUGAGGUCAGAGUGUUCCACCUACACCAGUGAGGUCAGAGUGUUCCACCUGCACCAGUGAGGUCAGAGUGUUCCACCUGCAACAGUAAGGUCAGUGUGU
This is a non-coding RNA of Cherax quadricarinatus, 4091 nucleotides long. NCBI's taxonomy places the organism in Eukaryota, Metazoa, Arthropoda, Malacostraca, Decapoda, Parastacidae. The record is from RefSeq and is a predicted model, not a curated record.